CUUAAUACUUAUUAUUUGUUAUAAAACAGCGAGUUCCGGUCUUCGAUUCUGAUUGGACGAGAGGACGCUUUUAUGGGCGUUUCCCAAACUGCAUAUUUGUGCCUUUGAAGAGGACUGCAUGCGGGAAGGCGACGCCAGUCGAAGUAUCGUUCUAAACGAAAAUCUGAUUGAAGUGAAAGAGGAGAGUCAAGAACUGAAUGAAGUGGAGGAGAAACAUCAUAACUUCAAAACAGAAGAAAAUGAUUUUAGCUGCUCACAGACUGAAAUGAAUUUCUCGCAAGAGAGAACUCAAAAAACAGAAGCUGAAAACUCUUUCACCUGCCCUCAGUGUGGAAAGACUUUCAAACGUAAAUACAACCUUAAGAAGCAUUUAAGCAUUCACACUGGAGAGAAACCUUUCACAUGUCAGCAGUGUGGAAAGAGUUUCGUUGAUAAAACGUAUCUCAAAUAUCAUAUUCGCCUUCACUCUAGUGAAAAGCCAUUUAAUUGCGAUCAGUGCGGUAAACAUUUUGCGACAACGUCACUUCUAAAAACACACCUGAAAAUUCAUACAAAUGAGAGGCCUCAUGUGUGUUCUGUUUGUGGAAAUAGUUUUUUACGACUGGAACAUUUGAAAGAUCAUCAAAAAAGACACGCUGGUAUUAGAGAUCAUAUAUGCUCUGAGUGUGAGAGGAGCUUCACUACAGCCAGCCAAUUGAAAAUGCACCUCAGAAUUCACACUGGAGUGAAACCUUACAAGUGCUAUGAGUGUGAAAAGAAGUUUGCAUGUACAAGUAAUCUUAAGAAGCACUUGAGAAUUCACACUGGAGAGAAACCUUUCACAUGUCAGCAGUGUGGAAAGAGUUACAGAUUUCAAUCACAACUUAAUAGACACAUGAGAAUUCACACUGGAGAGAAGCCGUACACUUGCCCUCAGUGUGGAAAGAGUUUCUCUGAUAAAACAUCUCUCAAAUCCCAUAUUCGCUAUCACUCUGGUGAAAGACCAUUUAACUGCGAUCAGUGCGGUAAACAUUUUACGACAAUGUCACUUCUAAAAAGACACCUAAAAAUUCAUACAGAUGAGAAGUCUUAAGGCGGACUUAUACUUCUGCAUCAAACAUUUAUAGUUCUGCGUUGGUGUGUCUGUGUCAUCAUGCGAGUACACAGCAAAGUGCUAGUACACUCACUGAGCACUUAAUUAGGACCACUGUGGUCUUAAUAAAGUGCCCGAUGUGGUCUUCUGCUGUUGUAGCCCAUUCGCCUCAAGGUUCGACAUUUGUGCAUUCUGAGAUGCUAUUCUGUUCACUACAAUUGUACAGAGGGGUUAUCUGGGUUACUGUAGCCUUUCUGUCAGCUCGAACUAGUCUGGCCAUUCUCCAUUGACCUCUUUCAUCAACAAGGCAUUUCUGUCCACAGAACUGCCCCUCACUGGAUGUUUUUUGUUUUUGGCACCAUUCUGAGUAAAUUCUAGAGACUGUUGUGAGUGAAAAUCCCAGGAGAUCAGUAGUUACAGAAAUACACAAACCAGCCCAUCUGGCACCAACAAUCAUGCCACAGUUGAAGUCAGUGAGAUCAAAUUUUUCCCCAUUCUGAUGGUUGAUGUGAAAAUUAAAAAUGGAGUGUGUAAUUUAAAUCCAAUACACUUUUUGUCAAAUUCUGCGAAUAUAUCUUCAUGGUCUGCAUGCUGUCCGUUCUGUGUGUGCGCUGAAAAAAAAGUCUGGUGUUUGUAGACAGCCCUGGCUCUGUAAAUGGGAAGAUAAACAAAGUGGAUCGGACCGAUCCACACAACACUAUUCCACCCAACCAGCAACAGGGGGUGGUUUGUGCUUGUGCACAGGAUAUGCCACCUGAAUUUUCAUAGCAAUAAAAAUUGCUUCCCCUUAUUGAGGCUAACUUACCCUCGUGCAACAGAUGCACUGGAUUCCGCCAUAUUUGUCUUUUGGUCAGCUAGCUCACUUGUUAGUGUCAUUGCCUUGACAAUGGGCGUGUAUGAAUUUGGGGGGCGGAGCUUCUGAAGGAGCACUAACGGGAGGGGUGUGUUUGUUUGGCUGUGCAGAGAGUGCGAAAGGGCGUGAUGAAUCUAAGGGGUGUUGGCAAAGGUUGUUUGAAAACAUACUUUAGUUUUAUAAUUCCGUUUGGUGCCACUAGUAGCGCAGAAAUGACACACUCCACCUUUAACUGAAGCUCCUGACCCAUAUCUGCAUGAUUUUAUACAUUACACUGCUGCCACACGAUUGGCUGAUUAGAUAAUUGCAUGAAUAGGUGUUCUUAAUAAAGUGCUCAGUGAGUGUAUUAGUAUAUUGAGAGAAAAUGCCUUAUUUUCUAAAAUGAACAAAGCCAAAUGCAAUUUAUGGAUUCAAAAGUAUUUAUCAGAUUAUUGUAGCAUUAAAAACAAGUUCAUCAAGGUACUAUAUGUAGGCCUACAGUGCCUAUAGAAAGUUUUGUACAUGGUCAAAUCCUUAUCUUUUGUCACAUUACAUCCUGGAAAUGUAAAUAAAUUCAAUCUAACCUUUUCCAGCUGUAUUUACACACUAUAACCUCAACAUCAAAGUGAAAAUAACAUGUAAAACAAAAUCUGAACAAUUAUAUAAAACUAAUUGGUAAAACACCUGGUUUAGAGAAGUGAUCAGCCCCUUAAGAGUAACAUGGUGCAACCAGUCACCUUUCAGAUCACUUACCUGGCUAAUUGGUCCCCACCUGACAUUGAGCCUGUUUACAAGCACACUAAUACACUGAUUACUCUCUAAAAUCAGCUUAUUUAAAAAACCUGACAAGGCAAGAAAUCCGCGUUUACAUGACAUUUGAAAUAAUCGCGUUAAUCUCUACUUUUCACGUCAAACCAGGAAGAGGCAUGCGCUAAACACGUGCGCACAUUGGAUGAGCCAGUAAGAAUAGCAGGUAAUUCGUUUGCAUGGCACGCGAAAACGGCAUAAUGGGCAAAAAUCUACGUGUGUCGAUCGGGUUAUUCAUAAGCCAUAUAUGGCCUUUACACCAAUAAAGGAACGUGGUUUAUUGCUUUUACUUGACCACACGCGUUGUCAGCUUAUUAGGCAAAAUCGGUGUAAGAACGUGCAUGAAAACACAUUCAAUAAUUGUAGUGGUUUAAUUACUUCAGAAUAAAAUCAGCUGUUCCAUGAGGAUUACAUUAAUAGUAGUGAAUGGGAAAGAAUUCAAGAAUGCACCAUGGUUGGAAAGGUGUUUUCAAAAGUGCUCUUGGAAAAAAUUGUGGAAAGGAACCGGUUGGGAGAACAGUACAGAAAUAUUUCAAAGACUUUAACUAUCCCUCUGAGUACCGUUCAGAACAUUAUUAAGAAGUGGAAAGCACACGACACCACCAAAACUUUACCUAGAUCGGACCGUCCCUCCAAACUUGAUGACUGUGCCAUGAGGAUAUUGAUCAGGGAAGCUAUCAAAGGCAACUUUGAAGGAUUUACAAGCCCUUAUGGCUGAGAUUUAUCAUUCUGUGCAUGUGACAACAAUCUCCCAAGCUUUACACAAAGCUGGCCUGUAUGGCAGGGUGGCAAGAAAGAAACCUGUUCUGAAAAAGUGGCACACUAAGUCGCACUAAAAUAGUUACAAUGUUGCAUUUUCUUCAUGGUUCGGUUGGCUACCGUUAUAUUUUAUAUAUUUAUAUUUCAAGGUUAUAUUUUAAAAUGAACUAAAACUGUAAAAUGUCAGUCAAAUUUAUUUUGAUCCAUCAUUAGUUGAAUCAGAAUAAUUAAAGGUGUUUGUGAUAUGCAGCUGAGUGUGAUAAAAAAAAGUUCUGAUCAGCUUGUUAUCUUGUCAGUUCUUCUCAGUGACAGAAUGAUUUUUUCAAACAAAACAGAUGUGUUUUUUCAGUGCUUGAAGCCAUUAACUCAGCAGGGAGACCCGACGGUCAAGUGAUUAACUCCCGCUGAGAGGUGCUAAUGAGUGCUCUGUCUCCCUCUGCCUGGCCGUGAUUAUCUUAAUGAAGCUAACACCUGAAAAUCAGCUAGUGUAGAGCCAGCUUAAGACAAUUAUUGUUUUAACGAAGAAGCUUCCACAAGACUGUUAGCAAAGGGUACACUCAUACAGCAAUGCCAUGCUCCCUUCAGAGUGCCCACACCAAGAGCUCUGUCCUUCAUAGUGAGUAGGGUAUAGGGACGAUCACUUUUGAUUGAAUUCGCACUUUGUGCCACUCUGUUUCUUCGUUUUUGUGAGUCACUCAAGACUCAAAUGAUUUGUUACAAAACGAGUCGUUCACCACCGAAACAAUGGAGGUUAAUGAGAACGAAACGAUUAAUUAAAUAAUACUGAUUCUUUUACGAACUAAACAGCACAAAUUGAAACCAGAGUAUUGUGUAAUGUUGAGAAAAUGCAAUUAUGCUGCCUUCUUGUUCGAUUAUUUUAUGUUUUGAUGCAUACAUUUAGCCAAUGUAUUAAAUCAAAUGUUUUGUUUACAAGAAAUGCAUGAAACUAUGAGUGAACUGCUGUUAUCUGUUAAGUAUGUUACACAUUUAAACUGAGUAUGUAUAACAUUUGCAUACUACUGUAUGUUUACCCAUUAUUGUUGUAUGUAUUAAAUAAGGUAAACAUAAUUUAUUAUAUACAGUUGAAGUCAGAAGUUUAGAUACACCUUAGCCAAGUACAUUUAAACUCAGUUUUUCACAAUUCAUGGCAUUUAAUUGUAGAAAACAUUCCCUGUCUUAGGUCAGUUAGGAUCACUACUUCAUUUUUAGAAUGUGAAAUGUCAGAAUAAUAGAAUAGAAUAAUAAUAUUUAUUUCAGCUUUUAUUACUUUCAUCACAGUCCCAGUGGGUCAGAUGUUUACAUACACUUUGUUAGUAUUUGGUAGCAUUGCCUUUAAAUUGUUUAACUUGGGUCAAAUGUUUUGGGUAGCCAUCCACAAGCUUCUCACAAUAAGUUUUGGCCCAUUCCUCCAGACAGAACUGGUGUAGCUGAGUCAGGUUUGUAGGCCUCUUUGCUCGCACACGCUUUUCAGUUCUGCCCACAAAUUUCCUAUCAGAUUGAGGUCAGGGCUUUGUGAUAGCCACUCCAAUAUCUUGACUUUGCUGUCCUUAAGCCAUUUUGUCACAAUUUUGGAGGUAUGCUUGGGGUCAUUGUCCAUUUGGAAGACCCAUUUGCGACCGAGCUUUAACUUCCUGGCUGAUGUCUUGAGAUUUUGCUUCAGUAUAUCCACAUAAUUUUCCUUCCUCAUGAUGCCAUCUAUUUUGUGAAGUGCACCAGUCCCUCCUGCAGCAAAACACCCCCACAACAUGAUGCUGCCACCCCCAUGCUUCACGGUUGGGAUGGUGUUCUUCGACUUGCAAGCCUCACCCUCUUUUUUUGUGUGUGUGUGGAUUUUCUCCCCAAUUUGGAAUGCCCAAUUCCCAAUGCACUCUAAAUCCUUGUGGUGGCGUAGUGACUCGCCUCAAUCCAGGUGGUGGGGGACGAAUCUCAGUUGCCUCCGCAUCUGAGACCGUCAAUCCGUGCAUCUUAUCACAUGGCUUGUUGAGCACAUUACCGCAGAGACAUAGUGCGUGUGGAGGCUUUAUGCUAUUCUCCGCGGCAUCCACACACAACUCGCCACGCGCACCACCGAGAGCGAGAACCACACAUUAUAGCGACCACGAAGAGGUUACCCCAUGUGACUCUACCCUCCCUAGCAACCGGGCCAAUUUGGUUGCUUAGGAGACCUGGCUGGAGUCACUCAGCACGCCCUGGAUUCAAACUCACGACUCCAGGGGUGGUAAUCAGCGUCAAUACUCGCUGAGGUACCCAGGCCCCCCAGCCCCAUCCUCUUUCCUCCAAACAUAAUGAUGGUCAUUAUGGCCAAACAGAUACAUUUUUGUUUCACUAGACCAGAGGACAUUUCUCCAAAAAGUAAGAUCUUUGUCCCCAUGUGCACUUGCAAACUGUUGUCUGGCUUUUUAUGGUGGUUUUGGAGCAGUGGCUUCUUCCUUGCUGAGCAGCCUUUCAGGUUAUGUCAAUAUAGGACUCGUUUUACUGUGGAUAUAGAUACUUGUAAACCUGUUUCCUCCAGCAUCUUCGCAAGGUCCUUUACUGUUGUUCUGAGAUUGAUUUGCACUUUUCGCAAAAAACGAUGUUCAUCUCUAGGAGACAGAAUGUGUCUCCUUCCUGAGCAGUAUGAUGGCUGCGUGGUCCCAUGGUGUUUAUACUUGCGUACUAUUGUUUGUACAGAUGAACGUGGUACCUUCAGAUGUUAGGAAAUUUCUCCCAAGGAUGAACCAGACUUGUGGAGGUCCACCAUUUUUUUCUGAGGUCUUGGCUGAUUUCUUUUGAUUUUCCCAUGAUGUCAAGCAAAGAGGCAUUGAGUUUGAAGGUAGGCCUUAAAAUACAUCCACAGGUAUGCCUCCAAUUCAGUACACCUCCUAUCAGAAGCUAAUUGCCUAAUUGUCUAAAGGAUUGAUAUUUUCUGGAAUCUUCCAAGCUGCUUAAAGGCACAGUUAACUUAAUAGAUGUAAACUUCUGACCCACCUGAAUUGUGAUAGUCAAUUAAAAGUUAAACAAUCUGUCUGUAAACAAUUCUUGGAAAAAUUACUCAUGUCAUGCACAAAGAAGAUGUUCUAAACGACUAUAGUUUGUCAACAUGAAAUCUGUGGAGUGGUUAAAAAAAUUAGUUUUAAUGGCUUCAACCUAAGUGUAUGUAAACAUCUGACUUCAACUAAGACCAGAGUGAACAUGUUUCUGUACAAAGGGCAUGUAUGAACAUGUUUUACAGACAAAAUGUCAGCCAGAGGAGAGAAGAACUAAGAGCAGAGAGAGAAAAUGGUCGGCAGAGUUGGAUUUAUGAUCCAGCUGCAAGAGAUGGCAGCACAGAGUUGAAUUCAAGGUCAAGAAGAUAAAUAUGAGACUGUUUGACUGUACAAGUAUUUUAUUUGACUUAAUACAUGUUUUUCCUCUAUUGUAAGUUACACCAACUUUAUAUAUAUGUAAUAUUAUAUGUUAUAUAUACAAGUAAAAAACAGAUAUAUUACCAUGGAUGGAGGGCAGGCAAGGUGUCAUGGACAGAAGCGGAGAAAAACUCAUCGUUGUCGACAGGCAAAGCGAAGACAAUUUAAAGAGACUUUUGGAGACGGACUUGAAGUUACAACUCACAUCACCAGCUGGGCAUUUACUGAUAAACAGGUCGUCUAUAAAAGACUGAUGCUAUGAUUAUCACAUCAGAUGCUGUUCGUUUGAACAGUAUCUCUGAUGCCAGAAGUCUUGCUGAUAAUGCCUUUGAUUGAAUAACUUUUUUGAUUUUUGUACUUUAUUUUUUUACUUUUUUUUUACCUAGAACAUUUUGAUUGCUAGAAAAUAAAUUGUAACUAAUAAAUUGA
Molecule: RNA transcript, 7282 nt
Organism: Myxocyprinus asiaticus (Chinese sucker)
Lineage: Eukaryota; Metazoa; Chordata; Actinopteri; Cypriniformes; Catostomidae
Gene name: oocyte zinc finger protein XlCOF19-like
Exons: 3
Source: RefSeq, a predicted model, not a curated record